This is a non-coding RNA of Myotis brandtii (Brandt's bat), 76 nucleotides long. The record is from Rfam. Lineage: Eukaryota; Metazoa; Chordata; Mammalia; Chiroptera; Vespertilionidae.
GAUGGUUCUUGGAUGACACACCCUGGAAUCAGGCUCCCUCCUCUCUGGUUCUGGGAUGCAUCACCCAAGAACCACU